AGUGAACGCUGGCGGUAUGCCUAACACAUGCAAGUCGAACGGCAGCACAGUAAGAUCGUGCUCUUACGGGUGGCGAGUGGCGGACGGGUGAGGAAUACAUCGGAAUCUACUUUUUCGGGGGGGAUAACGUAGGGAAACUUACUCUAAUACCGCAUACGACCUACGGUUGAAAGCAUUGGAUCUUCUGGCCUUUCGCGAUUGGAUUAGCCGAUGUCGGAUUAGCUAGUUGGCGGGGUAAAGGCCCACCAAGGCGACGAUCCGUAGCUGGUCUGAGAGGAUGAUCAGCCACACUGGAACUGAGACACGGUCCAGACUCCUACGGGAGGCAGCAGUGGGGAAUAUUGGACAAUGGGCGCAAGCCUGAUCCAGCAAGCCCGCGUGGGUGAAGAAGGCCUUCGGGUUGUAAAGCCCUUUUGUUGGGAAAGAAAAGCAGCAGGUUAAUACCACGCUGCUCUGACGGUACCCAAAGAAUAAGCACCGGCUAACUUCGUG
Molecule: ribosomal RNA, 492 nt
Filed under: uncultured bacterium
Lineage: Bacteria
Description: partial 16S ribosomal RNA
Rfam family: Bacterial small subunit ribosomal RNA
Source: RNAcentral